This is an RNA transcript of Seriola aureovittata, 4957 nucleotides long. It is a transcript of the gene named MAP/microtubule affinity-regulating kinase 3a, with no coding region annotated. NCBI's taxonomy places the organism in Eukaryota, Metazoa, Chordata, Actinopteri, Carangiformes, Carangidae. The record is from RefSeq and is a predicted model, not a curated record. The transcript has 18 exons.
AGUAGCCAUUUUGGUCCCACCUAAAACAGACAGACCAGCUUCACUUUGGGCCGCCGGAGAUGGAAGAAACCGAGCCGACGGCGAGUAUUUCAGCCACCGAAACCGUUUGAAUCCCUCCAAGAAAUACCCACCGGUGACACUCGACGCCAUGGCUUGUUUCUAGACAGAGUUAUUUUUGUGAGAAAAAAAAGCCUGGGGCGAUUUUUGGAAGUGGCGACCGACAGCGCCUUAACGUUAGUUUAGUAAGCUACACUGAGUCAAACCCAAACGGGCAAACGGACACUGAUUUCGUUUGAACACGGGCCAUGAACGGUGUGUACGCGUCAUGUAAAUAUUGAACAUAAGAUUAUUAUGCUCAUUUCUUUUCGGUGUUUAACAGUUCAGGUGCUCGGCUCUUAACACGUCCGGUCUGGUUUGAAAAUUGUCACGAUCCAUGCUGAGACUGUUUCCCCGGAGAGAGCUGCAAAGCAAAGCAAUAAUUUCAUUUUUCGGCUGAGAAGGUGUCGGUGGAUUUUGGACAUCAGACGGCGACUGGUAAAAGGAAGGACGAUUAAAAGAUGUCAACAAAAACUCCUUUGCCUACGGUCAACGAGAAGGUGACGGAAAGUCACACGUCACACAGCAAUGGGCGUCAGGAGAUCGGCACGCGCUCGGCCCGGACCGGCGUGCGAUCGCGCAGCUCGGAGGAGCAGCAGCAGCCCCACGUAGGCAACUACCGGCUGCUCAAAACCAUCGGCAAGGGCAACUUUGCCAAGGUCAAACUGGCCCGACACAUCCUCACCGGCAGAGAGGUGGCAAUUAAGAUAAUAGACAAGACGCAGCUGAACCCAAACAGCCUUCAGAAGCUCUUCAGAGAAGUUAGAAUAAUGAAGAUCUUGAAUCAUCCGAAUAUAGUCAAGCUUUUUGAAGUGAUUGAGACAGAGAGGACGCUCUACCUGGUGAUGGAGUACGCCAGCGGAGGAGAGGUGUUCGACUACCUGGUUGCACAUGGAAGAAUGAAGGAAAAAGAGGCCAGGGCUAAAUUUAGACAGAUCGUAUCGGCGGUGCAGUACUGCCACCAGAAGCACAUUGUUCACAGAGACCUCAAGGCUGAGAACCUGCUCCUCGACGCAGACAUGAACAUCAAGAUCGCUGAUUUUGGCUUCAGCAACGAGUUCACUCUGGGCAACAAGCUGGACACGUUCUGCGGCUCUCCUCCGUACGCGGCGCCGGAGCUUUUCCAGGGGAAGAAGUACGACGGGCCGGAGGUGGACGUCUGGAGCCUCGGGGUCAUCCUGUACACGCUGGUCAGCGGCUCGCUGCCCUUCGAUGGACAGAACCUCAAGGAGUUGCGUGAACGUGUGCUCCGGGGGAAGUACCGCAUCCCUUUCUACAUGUCCACAGACUGCGAGAACCUCCUCAAACGCUUCCUGGUGCUCAACCCGGCCAAGCGGGGUACUCUCGAGGUGAGGGAGGACGCAGAAAAUCAAAUCAUGAAGGAUCGAUGGAUCAAUGCAGGAUUUGAGGAGGACGAGCUCAAGCCUUAUACUGAACCAGAGCUGGACAUCACGGAUCAGAAGAGAAUAGAUGUGAUGGUGGGGAUGGGCUACAACCUGGAAGAGAUCCAGGACUCUCUGGCCAAGAUGAAGUAUGACGAGAUCACAGCCACCUACCUGCUGCUGGGCAGGAAGGCCUCUGAGCUGGAGCCCAGCGAGUCGGCCUCCAGCAGCAACCUCUCUCUGGCCAAACCGAGACCCAACAGCGAGCUCAACGGCCAGUCGCCCUCCCACCUCAAAGUCCAGAGGAGCGUCUCCUCCAACCACAAACAGAGGCGUUACAGUGAACAAGUCGGCCAGAACGUCCCUCCGGGGAUGGCUCAUCCAAAGCGGAGUCAGACCACCACAUCGGAGAACAGCGCGAAGGAGGAAGGCGGAGUCCAGCUCCGCAAACCCAGCACCCCGGGGAGCCGCGGCGCUCCGCCCUCCAGCCCUCUGCUGGGCAACGCCAACAACCCCAACAAGGCUGACAUCCCCGACCGCAGGAAAGGCGCCACCACCGGCCCGAGUAAUAACGCUGCGUCGGCAGGGAUGACCAGGAGGAACACGUAUGUCUGCAGUGACAGGAACAACACGGACCGCCUCUCCGUCAUUCCCAACGGGAAGGAGAACAGCAGCGUCGCGGUGUCGCCCGGCGGCCAGAGGAACCCGGUGGCGUCGACCCACAGCAUCGCCAACGCCACCACGCCCGACCGCCUCCGCUUCCCCCGGGGCACCGCCAGCCGCAGCACCUUCCACGGGGGCCAGCUGAGGGACCGCCGCACGGCCACGUACAACGGGCCGCCGGCCUCGCCCACCCUCUCCCACGAUGCCACCCCUCUCUCCCAGACCCGCAGCCGUGGAACCAGCAACCUGUUCUCCAAACUCACCUCCAAACUCACCCGCAGAAACAUGUCAUUCAGGUUUACCAAAAGGUAGGACUCUUGUACUGCCUUUUCGCUCUGUGCCAAAAAAAAAAAACAUUAAAAAAAAAUAACGUGAAAACAAUGUCACUGAGAAACUUCCUGUGAAAGUCUACAGACGCGUGGGGCUGCUGGCACUGAACUAACACAUCGCUUAGCAGAACAAAAAACUCUCUCUGGGUGCAUUUACACACACGGGUUAUAAUCAGAUUAAUGUGAUCAGAUUUGUGACAUGAUUUCUUUUACCCCUGUAAUCCAAAUUAACAUGGUCUAAUUUAUGGAUAGAGCUAGUUUUAGUUGUAAAGGAUUAGUUCGACAUCAGGGGAAAUACGAUUCUUUGCUUCCUCGCUGGGUGUUGGAUGAAAAUAUCAAGUGUGUGUGCGGUGAAAAUGAAGCUGCAGCCACAAGCACGAAGACUUGUAACAAGGAGCAGCAGCCGUCCUGCCUCUGUCUGAAGGCUCUUCAUUUAACUAAUGACAUGUAACGUGUUAAUUAGGCGCUUGUUAGCUUGUUUCGUUACCUUUGGACAGAGCCAGGCUAGUUGUUUCCCACUGUUUCCAGCCUUUAUGCUAAGCUAAGCUAAGCUAACUAGCUCCUGGCUCUUCUUUAGGGCGACCUCGAUCCUCUCAUCUAACUCUUGGCAAGAAAGCAAAUAAAAUGUCAAACUAUUCCUUUACAGGGGGAUGUAACACAAAAAGGACAAGUCAAAAAACAAAAACAUAUGUAAUUGUUCUUAAUGUCUAAGAAGAGGAAGCUGAGUUUUGCAUUAAUCGGGUUUUAACGUGUGUUUCUGUGUGUGUAAACGUACUCACUGGCUGUGGUUGGUCUGAGUGGAUAAAGGCUGAUUGGGAGAGCAGCCCGGACUCCUCGAACAAUCAGUCGAUUAACCAGCAGCAACGACAGAGCAGCUUGCCACUAAUCAAUCGCCAGUGCAUGCAUGGGGUCGCUUCUUACAGCUGCCAUUGAUUGUGGUUUGUUUUCUCGCCACAACGAUUGUUGUUAACGACUGAUCUCUCUCUCUCUCUCUCUCUCUCUCUCUCUCUCUCUCUCUCUCUCUCUCUCUCUCUCUCUCUCUCUCUCUCUUUGCUGUUGAAGCUGCACAUUUUUUAGACGGAGCUUUUAACGUUACUCUGCUGCAUUAUUCACCAUAAAACAGAUUCUUAUUUUUAUAUUUUUUUAUUAUUUUUUUUUUAACUCUCUCUGGCUCAGAAGUGAUUUUUCUCCUGGCUGUUAAAAUCAGGAAGAAAUCACGCAGGAUGAGAUUGUUCCUGUUUCCAGACGGUGAAGGGGAGAAAGUGUCCGAGCCACAGAGAGCUAUAAAAAAAAAAUAAAAAAAUCUGACUUGUGUUUGUUCUUGUGUGAAUUCAGCCUCUGUGCAGAUCGUCGUGUUUGUGUAGAAGUUGGUUGGUUUAUCCAGUGGGUGUUGUGUUUCGUUGUGCUUUGCUGUGCAUAUACUUUAACGGCUGUAGUCACUUAAGUUUAAAUAUCUGCUGGUCGAUACUUUUGUCCCGUUUCUGUUGUUUGUUGUGUUUUGGGAAAAGGUUGUAGGUAUUGAUCAGGGUUUCUGGGCUUUGGUGAAUCAUCUUUAAGAAGAACUGUGAUGAUCCUCAGUUCAUCUUUAUCCAGGACAUGACAGUCAUCUUGUCUCCCAUCAGGCGUCUGAGGUCGUUAACGGUUUCCUUUUGAUCAGUCAUGUGACUUGUAAACCAUCAUAAAUACUAUAAAGUAUACAAAACAAUAUUACCAUGGUAAUCUUCACAAAAUCGUAUUGGAUGCAGAAAAUUUACAGGAGAAAUACAAAUGAAUAAAUAUGAAAAAUUUAUCUUAAUUUUUCAAAACAAAACGGUAAAUUCUGAACUCUUUCAAACUAAUGUUUUGAAAACAGUAGUACGCUUAUCAUAUAAAUAGUUGUGGUUUCAUGUGGGUGCUUGAAGGAGUCGGGUCAGUGUCAGUUGAGUUCACCCACUGAUGGGGGUCAGGGUGUGAAACUGAUCCGUCAUCAGACCAGGACACUGAUAUAAAACCAAACAGACUCUUUUUGAGUGAUUAGAUCGGCGUGAUCGAAGCGUCCUCAGUAUCAGCUGUGGCCUCAGAACAGCGGCGGGGCUUUGUGGCCCUCGCAGGGCGCCGUCUCGAGGCUCAGCAGCGCCCUCUGGUGGCGGCUUUGUAAACAGUUUUCUUCCUUUGGCAGCAGCAUCAUCAUCAUCAUCCUCCUCAUCAUCAUCAUCACCAUCCAGAGCCUCGUGUCUCUCAGCUCUGGUGUUAUGUGUCAUCACAGUCCUCUGAUCACCUCACUUUGGUUUUGUGUUUGUCCUCAUUUCCUACGGAGCCCUGAACCUGACGACGCCGAGGGAAAUGUUUUCAGACGAGUCAGAAAAUAAAAACUGGAGACACACGUAAAUAAUAGUGGUCAGUAUUGACCCGGCCAAACGGCAGAUGGCCAAAACAGGGCCUGCCAUCCCUUCUACCCAGGGAGGAAAGACCCUUAAGUCUCAACCGAGUUUGAGAGAAACGGGAGAC